RNAcentral lists this ribosomal RNA (369 nucleotides) under uncultured bacterium. RNAcentral describes it as "bacterial SSU rRNA". It matches the Rfam family "Bacterial small subunit ribosomal RNA", at positions 1131 to 1502 of the family's 1533-position model. The record is from RNAcentral.
UCGGGGACUCUGGAGGUACUAACCCGUUAGGGUGGGAAGGUGGGGAUGACGUCAAGUCAGUAUGGCCCUUACAUCUAGGGCUGCACACGUGCUACAAUGCCUGGUACAAAAGGAUCCAAGACCGCGAGGUGGAGGAAAUCCCCAAAGCCAGGCCCAGUUCAGAUUGGAGUCUGCAACUCGACUCCAUGAAGCCGGAAUCGCUAGUAAUGGUAGAUCAGAUACGCUACCGUGAAUACGUUCCCGGGCCUUGUACACACCGCCCGUCACACCAUGGGAGUGGGUUGCACCAGAAGUAGUUAGUCUAACCUUCGGGAGGACGAUUACCACGGUGUGAUUCAUGACUGGGGUGAAGUCGUAACAAGGUAACCA